The sequence is a regulatory RNA element, 58 nucleotides long. It matches the Rfam family "Actino-pnp RNA". The record is from Rfam.
CGCGGUCUUCGGUAGUGGCUGCCGGAACGAAAGCCGGCAGCUUCGACUGAUGGCCGUC